GGGGAUUUAGCUCAGUGGUAGAGCGCUUGCCUAGCAUGCACAAGGUCCUGGGUUCGGUCCCCAGCUCCG
This 69-nucleotide transfer RNA is filed under the name Rattus norvegicus (Norway rat). It matches the Rfam family "tRNA". From Rfam's summary of the family: Transfer RNA (tRNA) molecules are approximately 80 nucleotides in length. Their secondary structure includes four short double-helical elements and three loops (D, anti-codon, and T loops). Further hydrogen bonds mediate the characteristic L-shaped molecular structure. tRNAs have two regions of fundamental functional importance: the anti-codon, which is responsible for specific mRNA codon recognition, and the 3' end, to which the tRNAs corresponding amino acid is attached (by aminoacyl-tRNA synthetases). tRNAs cope with the degeneracy of the genetic code in two manners: having more than one tRNA (with a specific anti-codon) for a particular amino acid; and 'wobble' base-pairing, i.e. permitting non-standard base-pairing at the 3rd anti-codon position. The record is from Rfam by way of RNAcentral. Lineage: Eukaryota; Metazoa; Chordata; Mammalia; Rodentia; Muridae.